This 440-nucleotide ribosomal RNA is filed under the name uncultured bacterium. RNAcentral's name for it is "partial 16S ribosomal RNA". It matches the Rfam family "Bacterial small subunit ribosomal RNA", at positions 338 to 795 of the family's 1533-position model. The record is from RNAcentral.
CCUACGGGAGGCAGCAGUAGGGAAUAUUGCUCAAUGGGGGAAACCCUGAAGCAGCAACGCCGCGUGAAGGAUGAAGGUUUUCGGUUUGUAAACUCCUUUUGUUAGAGAAGAUAAUGACGGUAUCUAACGAAUAAGCCCCGGCUAACUCCGUGCCAGCAGCCGCGGUAAUACGGAGGGUGCACGCGUUACUCGGAAUCACUGGGCGUAAAGGGCUCGUAGGCGGGAAAGCAAGUCUGAAGGGAAAUCCUAGGGCUUAACCCUAGAACUGCAUUUGAAACUGUUAUGCUAGAGUAUGGGAGAGGUAGGUGGAAUUCUUGGUGUAGGGGUAAAAUGCGUAGAGAUUAAGAGGAAUACUCAUGGCGAAGGCGACCUGCUAGAACAUAACUGACGCUGAGGCGCGAAAGCGUGGGGAGCAAACAGGAUUAGAUACCCCGGUAGUC